Molecule: ribosomal RNA, 540 nt
Filed under: Cryptosporidium sp. GC-2015
Lineage: Eukaryota; Apicomplexa; Conoidasida; Eucoccidiorida; Cryptosporidiidae
Description: SSU rRNA
Rfam family: Eukaryotic small subunit ribosomal RNA
Source: RNAcentral
GUAUUGGCCUACCGUGGCAAUGACGGGUAACGGGGAAUUAGGGUUCGAUUCCGGAGAGGGAGCCUGAGAAACGGCUACCACAUCUAAGGAAGGCAGCAGGCGCGCAAAUUACCCAAUCCUAAUACAGGGAGGUAGUGACAAGAAGUAACAAUACAGGACUUUUUGGUUUUGUAAUUGGAAUGAGUUAAGUAUAAACCCCUUUACAAGUAUCAAUUGGAGGGCAAGUCUGGUGCCAGCAGCCGCGGUAAUUCCAGCUCCAAUAGCGUAUAUUAAAGUUGUUGCAGUUAAAAAGCUCGUAGUUGGAUUUCUGUUAAUAAUUUAUAUAAAAUAUUUUGAUGAAUAUUUAUAUAAUAUUAACAUAAUUCAUAUUACUAUAUAUUUUAGUAUAUGAAAUUUUACUUUGAGAAAAUUAGAGUGCUUAAAGCAGGCAUAUGCCUUGAAUACUCCAGCAUGGAAUAAUAUUAAAGAUUUUUAUCUUUCUUAUUGGUUCUAAGAUAAGAAUAAUGAUUAAUAGGGACAGUUGGGGGCAUUUGUAUUUAA